This 73-nucleotide transfer RNA is filed under the name Ochromonas danica. RNAcentral's name for it is "tRNA-Ile". It matches the Rfam family "tRNA". Rfam says of the family: Transfer RNA (tRNA) molecules are approximately 80 nucleotides in length. Their secondary structure includes four short double-helical elements and three loops (D, anti-codon, and T loops). Lineage: Eukaryota; Chrysophyceae; Chromulinales; Chromulinaceae. The record is from RNAcentral.
AAGUAGUUAGUUUAAUUGGUAGAACAUUAAGCUCAUAACUUAAAGAAUGUAGGUUCAACUCCUACACUGCUUA